Molecule: ribosomal RNA, 439 nt
Filed under: uncultured bacterium
Lineage: Bacteria
Description: partial 16S ribosomal RNA
Rfam family: Bacterial small subunit ribosomal RNA
Source: RNAcentral
CUACGGGCCGCUGCAGUGAGGAAUAUUGCACAAUGGGGGGAACCCUGAUGCAGCAACGCCGCGUGGAGGAUGACGCAUUUCGGUGUGUAAACUCCUUUUAUAUGUCAAGAAAAUGACGGUAGCAUAUGAAUAAGCACCGGCUAACUCCGUGCCAGCAGCCGCGGUAAUAGGGAGGGUGCAAGCGUUACUCGGAAUCACUGGGCGUAAAGGACGCGUAGGCGGGCUUGUAAGUCAGGUGUGAAAUCCUACAGCUUAACUGUAGAACUGCACUUGAAACUACGAGCCUAGAGUAUGGGAGGGGGAGAUGGAAUUAGUGGUGUAGGGGUAAAAUCCGUAGAUAUCACUAGGAAUACCUAAAGCGAAGGCGAUCUCCUGGAACAUAACUGACGCUAAGGCGUGAAAGCGUGGGGAGCAAACAGGAUUAGAUACCCUAGUAGUC